This 558-nucleotide ribosomal RNA is filed under the name Triticum aestivum (bread wheat). Its description in RNAcentral is "partial small subunit ribosomal RNA". The record is from RNAcentral. Lineage: Eukaryota; Viridiplantae; Streptophyta; Magnoliopsida; Poales; Poaceae.
AUGUCCGGAGCAGGAGGCAAAUGGGUGGCUUCCACCGUGAAGGAGAAGAACAUCGCAAGUCUUCGGGUGGCCGGAUACUUGGCCGCAGACAUAGGGCACCGGCUACCAGAUGGCGGGGAGGUCAUUCCAACUCCAGGACCCCAUGAGAGGGUCGUGUUCCUUGCCCACUUCGUCCGUGGACUGGGGUUUCCACUCCACCCCUUUGUCCACGGGCUCAUGUUCUACUAUGGCCUAGACUUCCAUGAUCUAGCCCCGAACUUCGUCCUCAACAUCUCGGCGUUCAUCGUCGUAUGCGAGGCUUUCCUCCGCAUCAAGCCUCAUUUCGGCUUAUGGCUGCAAACCUUCUGUGUGAAGCCGAAGAUCGUGAGCGGCCAGCAAGCGGAGUGCGGAGGAGCUAAGGUGGGCAAAAUGCCUAACGUCACCUGGCUUGACAACUCCUUUGCGGAAACCGUGAAGGGGUGGCAGUUGGGGUCGUUCUACAUCACCGAGCUGCGCGGUGCCAACUGGGUGGCGGCUCCCGAGUUCCGAUCUGGAACCCCUAUGCGGCUCACCUCCUAG